GUCAGGGACGAACGCUGGCGGCGUGCUUAAUACAUGCAAGUAGAACGCUGAAGACUUUAGCUUGCUAAAGUUGGAAGAGUUGCGAACGGGUGAGUAACGCGUAGGUAACCUGCCUACUAGCGGGGGAUAACUAUUGGAAACGAUAGCUAAUACCGCAUAACAGCAUUUAACCCAUGUUAGAUGCUUGAAAGGAGCAAUUGCUUCACUAGUAGAUGGACCUGCGUUGUAUUAGCUAGUUGGUGAGGUAACGGCUCACCAAGGCGACGAUACAUAGCCGACCUGAGAGGGUGAUCGGCCACACUG
RNAcentral lists this ribosomal RNA (303 nucleotides) under Streptococcus equinus. RNAcentral's name for it is "bacterial SSU rRNA". It matches the Rfam family "Bacterial small subunit ribosomal RNA", at positions 27 to 315 of the family's 1533-position model. The record is from RNAcentral. Lineage: Bacteria; Bacillati; Bacillota; Bacilli; Lactobacillales; Streptococcaceae.